CUGCAACCCGACUACAUGAAGCUGGAAUCGCUAGUAAUCGCAGGUCAGCAUACUGCGGUGAAUACGUUCCCGGGUCUUGUACACACCGCCCGUCACACCAUGGGAGCCGGAAAUGCCCGAAGCCAGUGACCCAACCUUAGGGAGGGAGCUGUCGAAGGUGGAGCCGGUAACUGGGGUGAAGUCGUAACAAGGUAAC
RNAcentral lists this ribosomal RNA (196 nucleotides) under uncultured bacterium. RNAcentral's name for it is "partial 16S ribosomal RNA". It matches the Rfam family "Bacterial small subunit ribosomal RNA", at positions 1305 to 1500 of the family's 1533-position model. The record is from RNAcentral.